UAGUAGAACCAGAGACCUAGAUUCCCAGGAUCUGUUAGAGCAGUUGCCAGCUUUGCAGCAGUUACUGUAUCGGCUUGUUGGAUGUCGGCCAGAAGGAGCUGUGAAUAAUAACUACUUGGUGCAGUAUGCUCUAGCUUUGGUGUUAAAAGAGAGUUUCAAAAUUUAUUGUGCGAUCAAUGAUGGAAUUAUUAACCUUGUUGAUAAGG
Molecule: long non-coding RNA, 206 nt
Organism: Hordeum vulgare subsp. vulgare (domesticated barley)
Lineage: Eukaryota; Viridiplantae; Streptophyta; Magnoliopsida; Poales; Poaceae
Exons: 3
Source: RefSeq, a predicted model, not a curated record